Molecule: ribosomal RNA, 500 nt
Filed under: gamma proteobacterium ANRB11-4
Lineage: Bacteria; Pseudomonadati; Pseudomonadota; Gammaproteobacteria
Description: bacterial SSU rRNA
Rfam family: Bacterial small subunit ribosomal RNA
Source: RNAcentral
GCCAGCAGCCGCGGUAAUACGAAGGGUGCAAGCGUUACUCGGAAUUACUGGGCGUAAAGCGUGCGUAGGUGGUUCGUUAAGUCUGAUGUGAAAGCCCUGGGCUCAACCUGGGAAUUGCAUUGGAUACUGGCGGGCUAGAGUGCGGUAGAGGAUGGCGGAAUUCCCGGUGUAGCAGUGAAAUGCGUAGAGAUCGGGAGGAACAUCUGUGGCGAAGGCGGCCAUCUGGACCAGCACUGACACUGAGGCACGAAAGCGUGGGGAGCAAACAGGAUUAGAUACCCUGGUAGUCCACGCCCUAAACGAUGCGAACUGGAUGUUGGGUGCAACUAGGCACUCAGUAUCGAASUAACGCGUUAAGUUCGCCGCCUGGGGAGUACGGUCGCAAGACUGAAACUCAAAGGAAUUGACGGGGGCCGCACAAGCGGUGGAGUAUGUGGUUUAAUUCGAUGCAACGCGAAGAACCUUACCUGGCCUUGACAUGCACGGAACUUUCCAGAGAU